UACGAAGGGGGCUAGCGUUGUUCGGAAUUACUGGGCGUAAAGCGCACGUAGGCGGACAUUUAAGUCAGGGGUGAAAUCCCGGGGCUCAACCCCGGAACUGCCUUUGAUACUGGGUGUCUUGAGUGUGGUAGAGGUGAGUGGAGUUGCGAGUGUAGAGGUGAAAUUCGUAGAUAUUCGCAGGAACACCAGUGGCGAAGGCGGCUCACUGGACCACAACUGACGCUGAGGUGCGAAAGCGUGGGGAGCAAACAGG
This 253-nucleotide ribosomal RNA is filed under the name uncultured bacterium. Its description in RNAcentral is "partial 16S ribosomal RNA". It matches the Rfam family "Bacterial small subunit ribosomal RNA", at positions 524 to 776 of the family's 1533-position model. The record is from RNAcentral.